RNAcentral lists this ribosomal RNA (502 nucleotides) under uncultured bacterium. Its description in RNAcentral is "partial 16S ribosomal RNA". It matches the Rfam family "Bacterial small subunit ribosomal RNA", at positions 30 to 523 of the family's 1533-position model. The record is from RNAcentral.
AUUGAACGCUGGCGGAAUGCUUUACACAUGCAAGUCGAACGGCAGCAUAGGUGCUUGCACCUGAUGGCGAGUGGCGAACGGGUGAGUAAUACAUCGGAACGUGCCCAGUCGUGGGGGAUAACGUAGCGAAAGUUACGCUAAUACCGCAUACGAUCUAAGGAUGAAAGCGGGGGACCGUAAGGCCUCGCGCGAUUGGAGCGGCCGAUGUCAGAUUAGGUAGUUGGUGAGGUAAAGGCUCACCAAGCCGACGAUCUGUAGCUGGUCUGAGAGGGCGACCAGCCACACUGGGACUGAGACACGGCCCAGACUCCUACGGGAGGCAGCAGUGGGGAAUUUUGGACAAUGGACGCAAGUCUGAUCCAGCCAUUCCGCGUGCAGGACGAAGGCCUUCGGGUUGUAAACUGCUUUUGUACGGAACGAAAAAGCUCUUACUAAUACUAGGAGUCCAUGACGGUACCGUAAGAAUAAGCACCGGCUAACUACGUGCCAGCCGCCGCCGCAG